AUGCGCGCUGGCGGCGUGCCUCAUCCAUGCAAGUCGCGCGCACAGACGAGGAGCUUGCUCCUCUGACGUUAGCGGCGGACGGGUGAGUAACACGUGGAUAACCUACCUAUAAGACUGGGAUAACUUCGGGAAACCGGAGCUAAUACCGGAUAAUAUAUUGAACCGCAUGGUUCAAUAGUGAAAGACGGUUUUGCUGUCACUUAUAGAUGGAUCCGCGCCGCAUUAGCUAGUUGGUAAGGUAACGGCUUACCAAGGCAACGAUGCGUAGCCGACCUGAGAGGGUGAUCGGCCACACUGGAACUGAGACACGGUCCAGACUCCUACGGGAGGCAGCAGUAGGGAAUCUUCCGCAAUGGGCGAAAGCCUGACGGAGCAACGCCGCGUGAGUGAUGAAGGUCUUCGGAUCGUAAAACUCUGUUAUUAGGGAAGAACAAAUGUGUAAGUAACUAUGCACGUCUGGACGGUACCUAAUCAGAAAGCCACGGCUAACUACGU
This 495-nucleotide ribosomal RNA is filed under the name uncultured bacterium. RNAcentral describes it as "partial 16S ribosomal RNA". It matches the Rfam family "Bacterial small subunit ribosomal RNA", at positions 29 to 506 of the family's 1533-position model. The record is from RNAcentral.